This 392-nucleotide unclassified non-coding RNA is filed under the name soil metagenome. RNAcentral's name for it is "partial contains 5.8S ribosomal RNA, internal transcribed spacer 2, and large subunit ribosomal RNA". The stretch from base 1 to 120 matches the Rfam family "5.8S ribosomal RNA", at positions 35 to 154 of the family's 154-position model. The record is from RNAcentral.
GAUGAAGAACGUAGCGAAAUGCGAUAAGUAAUGUGAAUUGCAGAAUUCAGUGAAUCAUCGAAUCUUUGAACGCAUCUUGCGCUCCUUGGUAUUCCGAGGAGCAUGCCUGUUUGAGUGUCAUUUAACUUCUCAACCACAUUGGAUAUUUUUUUUCCGAUGCCGGCUUGGAUGUGGGGGUUGUUUGCAGGCUUUUUGUAACAAAAAAGGUCGGCUCCCCUGAAAUGUAUUAGUGGUAUCUGAGGCUAUUACUAUUAGGUGCGAUAAUUAUCUAUGCCUUUUGGGUAUGCCGCAUGAACAGAUUAUGCUGCUUCUAACGAAAACUAUUUUGAUGAAUUUGACCUCAAAUCAGGUAGGACUACCCGCUGAACUUAAGCAUAUCAAUAAGCGGAGGA